GGGCCGGUAGCUCAGUUGGACGAGCAUCUGUUUAGUAUAGAAGGGUCCUAUGUUUGACUCCUAACCUGUCCA
This is a non-coding RNA of Trichophaea hybrida, 72 nucleotides long. The record is from the annotation of a GenBank genome assembly. Lineage: Eukaryota; Fungi; Ascomycota; Pezizomycetes; Pezizales; Pyronemataceae.